Molecule: ribosomal RNA, 468 nt
Filed under: uncultured bacterium
Lineage: Bacteria
Description: partial 16S ribosomal RNA
Rfam family: Bacterial small subunit ribosomal RNA
Source: RNAcentral
GACGAACGCUGGCGGCGUGCUUAACACAUGCAAGUCGAACGGAAAGGCCCUGCUUUUGUGGGGUGCUCGAGUGGCGAACGGGUGAGUAACACGUGAGUAAGCUGCACCUGACUUUGGGAUAACUUAAGGACACUGGGGCUCAUAGCAGCAAGGAGCUACUGCCGUAGGGUGGGCGUUGGAUAGUUUCGGCGGUUGGGGAUGGACUAGCGGCUUAUCGGCUUGUUGGUGGGGUAGUGGAAUACCAAGGCUUUGAAGGGUGGCCGGCCUGGGCGGGUCACCGGCCACAUUGGGACUGAGAUACGGCCCAGACUCCAACGGUAGGCAGCGGUGGGGAAGAUUGCACAAUGGGCGGAAGCCAGACGCAGCAACGCCGCGUGCGGGAUGACAGCCUGCGGGUUGUAAACCGCUUUCGCCUUUGACGAGGCGUGAGUGACGGUACUGGGUAAAUAAGCACCGGCUAACUACGUG